UACGUAGGGGGCAAGCGUUGUCCGGAUUUAUUGGGCGUAAAGAGCGUGUAGGCGGCUUCACAGGUCUGCUGUGAAAACUCGAGGCUCAACCUCGAGCUGUCGGUGGAAACCGUGGGGCUAGAGUCCGGAAGAGGAGAGUGGAAUUCCCGGUGUAGCGGUGAAAUGCGCAGAUAUCGGGAAGAACACCCGUGGCGAAGGCGGCUCUCUGGGACGGUACUGACGCUGAGACGCGAAAGCGUGGGGAGCAAACA
RNAcentral lists this ribosomal RNA (251 nucleotides) under uncultured bacterium. RNAcentral's name for it is "partial 16S ribosomal RNA". It matches the Rfam family "Bacterial small subunit ribosomal RNA", at positions 524 to 774 of the family's 1533-position model. The record is from RNAcentral.